RNAcentral lists this ribosomal RNA (253 nucleotides) under uncultured bacterium. RNAcentral describes it as "partial 16S ribosomal RNA". It matches the Rfam family "Bacterial small subunit ribosomal RNA", at positions 524 to 776 of the family's 1533-position model. The record is from RNAcentral.
UACAGAGGUCUCAAGCGUUGUUCGGAUUCAUUGGGCGUAAAGCGCGUGUAGGCGGCCCGGUAAGUCCGCUGUAAAAGUCCAGGGCUCAACCCUGGAAAGCCGGUGGAUACUGUCGGGCUCGAGUCCGGAAGAGGCGAGUGGAAUUCCUGGUGUAGCGGUGAAAUGCGCAGAUAUCAGGAGGAACACCAAUGGCGAAGGCAGCUCGCUGGGACGGUACUGACGCUGAGACGCGAAAGCGUGGGGAGCAAACAGG